AACUUCAUCUAAGGCUAAGACUGAUAGUCAACAAGUACCAUAGGGAAAGUUGAAAAGAACUUUGAAGAGAGACUUCAAGAGGGAC
Ceratotherium simum simum (southern white rhinoceros) is the source of this 85-nucleotide non-coding RNA. NCBI's taxonomy places the organism in Eukaryota, Metazoa, Chordata, Mammalia, Perissodactyla, Rhinocerotidae. The record is from RefSeq and is a predicted model, not a curated record.